Molecule: ribosomal RNA, 497 nt
Filed under: uncultured bacterium
Lineage: Bacteria
Description: partial 16S ribosomal RNA
Rfam family: Bacterial small subunit ribosomal RNA
Source: RNAcentral
GAUGAACGCUGGCGGCGUGCCUAAUACAUGCAAGUCGAGCGAACAGAUGAGGAGCUUGCUCCUCUGACGUUAGCGGCGGACGGGUGAGUAACACGUGGAUAACCUACCUAUAAGACUGGGAUAACUUCGGGAAACCGGAGCUAAUACCGGAUAAUAUAUUGAACCGCAUGGUUCAAUAGUGAAAGACGGUUUUGCUGUCACUUAUAGAUGGAUCCGCGCCGCAUUAGCUAGUUGGUAAGGUAACGGCUUACCAAGGCAACGAUGCGUAGCCGACCUGAGAGGGUGAUCGGCCAAACUGGAACUGAGACAAGGUCCAGACUCCUAAGGGAGGCAGCAGUAGGGAAUCUUCCGCAAUGGGCGAAAGCCUGACGGAGCAACGCCGCGUGAGUGAUGAAGGUCUUCGGAUCGUAAAACUCUGUUAUUAGGGAAGAACAAAUGUGUAAGUAACUAUGCACGUCUUGACGGUACCUAAUCAGAAAGCCACGGCUAACUACGUG